This 253-nucleotide ribosomal RNA is filed under the name uncultured bacterium. Its description in RNAcentral is "partial 16S ribosomal RNA". It matches the Rfam family "Bacterial small subunit ribosomal RNA", at positions 524 to 776 of the family's 1533-position model. The record is from RNAcentral.
CACGUAGGGACCAAGCGUUGUCCGGAUUUAUUGGGCGUAAAGAGCUCGUAGGCGGUCGUGUAAGUCGGGUGUGAAAUCUCCGGGCUCAACUCGGAGGGGCCACCCGAUACUGCUCGACUCGAGUCCGGUAGGGGAGUGGGGAAUUCCUGGUGUAGCGGUGAAAUGCGUAGAGAUCCGGAAGAACACCAAUAGCGAAGGCAGUGUCCUGGCUCGUAUCUGACGCUGAGGUGCGAAAGCUAGGGGAGCGAACGGG